This 468-nucleotide ribosomal RNA is filed under the name uncultured bacterium. RNAcentral's name for it is "partial 16S ribosomal RNA". It matches the Rfam family "Bacterial small subunit ribosomal RNA", at positions 28 to 507 of the family's 1533-position model. The record is from RNAcentral.
GACGAACGCUGGCGGCGUGCUUAACACAUGCAAGUCGAACGGAAAGGCCCUGCUUUUGUGGGGUGCUCGAGUGGCGAACGGGUGAGUAACACGUGAGUAACCUGCCCUUGACUUUGGGAUAACUUCAGGAAACUGGGGCUAAUACCGGAUAGGAGCUCCUGCUGCAUGGUGGGGGUUGGAAAGUUUCGGCGGUUGGGGAUGGACUCGCGGCUUAUCAGCUUGUUGGUGGGGUAGUGGCUUACCAAGGCUUUGACGGGUAGCCGGCCUGAGAGGGUGACCGGCGACAUUGGGACUGAGAUACGGCCCAGAAUCCUACGGGAGGCAGCAGUAGGGAAUAUUGCACAAUGGGCGGAAGCCUGAUGCAGCAACGCCGCGUGCGGGAUGACGGCCUUCGGGUUGUAAACCGCUUUCGCCGGUGACGAAGCGUGAGUGACGGUAAUGGGUAAAGAAGCAACGGCUAACUACGUG